Molecule: non-coding RNA, 197 nt
Submitted as: unclassified sequences
Source: Rfam
AAGAUAACAAGAUCAGGAAGGGAACUGCAGAACCAAGAAUGAGAAAGUUAACUUAGGAAGAGACCAGAAAGGUGAAAGUUCAAGGAAGGUCAGCAUGCAAAAGAUCAAACUUGACCACCGAGAGUAAAAGAGAUCUUACUCAAGGAUGCAGAAGGUAAUCUCACUUUUGACACCUACUGAUCUCGAAUUAAAAAAAA